GGAGGGCGUAAAUGUUUCCAGCACGCUGAUUCGUGCUGCGCGGGUGAUAGCGUUCCGCACUCAACACACGGACACUUUUGAUUAAUUUAACUGUUCGCUGUGCAGCUUUUGCAACAUAUACGAAGACGUUGUAAAGAGUUAAAGCCUAUUUGCUAUCCAGAAGACUCUGCUCUAGGGUAACCUGUGUUGUUGGCCAGAGGAUCUCUCUCCCUGUGAGGAGUCGUCUGCUGCUGUUGCUGGAUUGGUGACCAUGUCAGCCUCCGCUCUCAUCCACCUGGCCCGGUCGGGGGGGACUCAGGCCAUGCGACAGAGGGGUUUCCUCCAGACAGCCCUAGUGAGUGUCCUACCCCUGCAGGAUGACCUCCCCCUCCAACGGCCUCUCCACCUGGGCCUGCUGCGGGCCAGCAACACGCGCUUCGACCCGGACAGCAGCGGCAAGCCCACCACCUGGGACUCGUUCGGCAUCUGGGACAACCGCAUAGAUGAGCCCAUCAACCUGUCGCCCUCCAUCAAGUACGGCAAGCCCAUCCCCAAGGUCAGCCUGUCCAAGGUGGGCUGCGCCUCGCUCAUCGGCCACCGGCGGGAGAAUGAGGACCGCUUCCAGGUCUCCCAGAUGACAGACAAUAUCCUCUACUUUGCCGUGUUCGACGGCCACGGAGGGCCUGAGGCGGCAGACUUCUGCGACAAGUACAUGGAGAAGUACAUUAAGGAUCUUGUAGCAGAGGAGGACAAUCUGGAAGUUGUUCUUACUAAAGCAUUCCUUGAACUGGACAAAGCCUUGGCAAGACACCUCCACUUCUUCCCUCAUGUGGUGAGCGCUGGCUCCACGGCCACGGUGGCCCUGCUGAGGGACGGUAUAGAGCUGGUGGUGGGCAGCGUGGGGGACAGCCGCGCCAUGCUCUGCCGCAAGGCCAAGGCCCUCAAACUCACCUCGGACCACACCCCCGAGAGGAAGGACGAGAAGGAGAGAAUAAAGAAGAGCGGUGGCUGGGUGACCUGGAACAGUCUGGGGCAGCCCCAUGUCAAUGGCAGGUUAGCCAUGACACGCGCCAUCGGGGACUUUGACCUCAAGAGCACCGGGGUGAUCGCUGAGCCAGAGACCAAGAGAAUAUCAGUGAGUGUUUGCUGUCACCACCUCAGAGAAAUGAACUACUGUGCAGUAUCAGAGUGUAUACAUCUCAAAUGACACUCUAUUCCCUAUGAAGUGCACUACUUUUGACCUGGACCUAGAGCUGGGAAGAAAAACCGACAAUUAUCGAUACCGACCAUUUCUGACAUGUUACUGAUAUUGAUAAUAACGAUAAGUAGCCGUUACUAGAGGAAUAUGACAUUUGAAAUAAAAUAACUCUGCUAAUAUGGGCUAUUGCUAAUGGGACAGUGAUGGUCACAACAUUGAAAGUAGUAGUUUUAAGGGUAAUGUAAAAGAAAAGUAACUGGUGCACAUUGUUAUAAACUUAUCAUUCAAUUUAUUGUUAUUGUGAAAAUUCAGGGCAUUCAUAUGGAUUUUUGUCCAUAUCGCCCAGCUCUACCAGAACCUAAUUUAGUGCAUUCAUUUUGACCAGAUCCACACAGGGCUGGACAAAAGUAGUCCACUGUAUGAGGAAUAGGUUGGAAUUAGCCAAUGUCUGUCACUCGGUUUGGGUCAUUUUUGCCCCCGAGGUGUUUGGGUCAUUUUUGCCCCCGAGGUGUUUGGGUCAUUUUUGCCCCCGAGGUGUUUGGGUCAUUUUUGCCCCCGAGGUGUUUGGGUCAUUUUUGCCCCCGAGGUGUUUGGGUCAUUUUUGCCCCCGAGGUGUUUGGGUCAUUUUUGCCCCCGAGGUGUUUGGGUCAUUUUUGCCCCCGAGGUGUUUGGGUCAUUUUUGCCCCCGAGGUGUUUGGGUCAUUUUUGCCCCCGAGGUGUUUGGGUCAUUUUUGCCCCCGAGGUGUUUGGGUCAUUUUUGCCCCCGAGGUGUUUGGGUCAUUUUUGCCCCCGAGGUGUUUGGGUCAUUUUUGCCCCCGAGGUGUUUGGGUCAUUUUUGCCCCCGAGGUGUUUGGGUCAUUUUUGCCCCCGAGGUGUUUGGGUCAUUUUUGCCCCCGAGGUGUUUGGGUCAUUUUUGCCCCCGAGGUGUUUGGGUCAUUUUUGCCCCCGAGGUGUUUGGGUCAUUUUUGCCCCCGAGGUGUUUGGGUCAUUUUUGCCCCCGAGGUGUUUGGGUCAUUUUUGCCCCCGAGGUGUUUGGGUCAUCUUGGCCCCCGAGGUGUUUGGGUCAUCUUGGCCCCCGAGGUGUUUGGGUCAUCUUGGCCCCCGAGGUGUUUGGGUCAUCUUGGCCCCCGAGGUGUUUGGGUCAUCUUGUCAGGUUUGAUCACGUCUUUAGCCUGCGGGUGCUCAGAACAGUGACAUAUUAAGCUCCGAAGGGCAAAUGUGUUUCCUCUUUAUCACUGGAGACUGUCUGGCUUAGUCUCCGGCUUGUGUCAUGGUCUGUCUGUAGACGUCUGACAAUAAGGUAUUAACUUAAUGUUUCUAGCUGCAUCACGUCCACGACUCGUUCCUGGCGCUCACCACAGAUGGCAUUAACUUCAUCAUGAACAGCCAGGAGAUCUGUGAUGUCAUCAACCAGUGCCACGACCCCAAAGAGGCCGCCCAGAGGAUCUCAGAGCAGGCGCUUCAGUAUGGCUCAGAGGACAACAGCACCAUUAUCGUGGUUCCCUUCGGAGCCUGGGGGAAACAGAAGAAUUCAGAGACCAGCUACUCCUUCAGCCGCAGCUUCGUGUCCAGCGGCCGCUGGGCCUAAACAGGUGGACCCGGGUAGUCAUUAGUACGAAGUUACCCCUAGACACUAAUCUAGUGUCAGUUUAUGUUUCCCACCCCUACUGGUGAAGGUUAGGGCUGGGGGAGCGUAAUCUGAUCUGAGCUCUGUGGUUAUGGAUAACUUUGAUCAAAGCAGACUUAAAGGGAAGGGGAAUGGGGAGGGAGAUUCCUGUGGACCUUAUCGAUGUGCAAUAGUCUCCACACAGCGCGGCCAGUUCAAGACAUGCAGGGGAAAAGCACAGCUAACCAAGAACCGAUGCCUUAGGAACAAUGACAUGCCAUUUUACAGAUAAUAAUCCCGUAGUUUUGAGCCUGUUCUACAGAAAGGCUUUUGACUCAUUAUGUGCACUUAACAAGGAAUACGUCCUUUUCACUUCCUCUAAAAUCGAUGCCUAUUCCCUAUGUAGUGCACUACUUUUGACCGCCAAACGUAGUGCCCUACAUAGGGAAUUAGGUGCCAUUUUGGACGCAAACAAGGUUGCAGUAGAAAGCCAUCGACUUGGUGGGAGCUUGAAGCCUAAGAACUUACCUUAUUUUUCAUUGUGUGUAAGUGAGUUUGCAUUGUGCCAAGUAAGGCAAACCAGACGUUAAUUAGCUUUGUCUGUGAACUUGGGGGAAAGUGCUUCUUACUUGCAUGUCAUAGAGAAUGUUUUUGGUAGGAAGUUAUUCUGAGAAAUCAACAACGCACUUUUUUUUAUUUCCAGAUGAUGUUGAACUAAUUUGUUUCAAUGCGUCUCGUUCAUCCACUGUACUUGUUAGUGGAUAUCACUGUGCUGUGGUGCUGUUUUAUUUAGUUCUGAACAACAGUUUUAGUCUGUCGUCUCUUCGCGUGAAGCACUUGUCAGUAUUGAGUUCAGGACAAACUUCUCAGAAUGGGGAUUUUGGGUACAGUAAGGCGCUGCUUAUAGUACAGGGUUAUCAUUGACCAAUAUGUACAAAUUCAUAUCCGUCUAAUAGGAAAACACUCACACGCACUGCAGUCAAGACGUGUUAAUGGACCACUAUUUGAAUCUCUGCGUUUCUAUAAUUUCAGCAUGGUAGAAGGAAAAGCUGUGUGUAGAUACUGUAAUACACAGAAAGAGAGCCAGCCAAAUGAUGACAAAAGCCCAAAGUCUUGUAAUAGAUGGGCACAUGCAGUAUGGAAUGUAAUGUGUUAGUUCUCCUUGUUCUACAAUCAUAUUGGGCCCUCGGGAGCCACAGAAUGCAUUGAUGCCCCAGUUGCACAAGCCUUAAAGAUGCAGUCCUAGAUCUUAAGCACUUAGAAAUUCGUAACAUAUUGUACAAUGACUUUGUUCACAAUUGUGUCCAAUCUUCAGUGACUCGUUUUGGCUCGUGAUCACUUCUUUCAAAACUACUGGGUGAAAUUAUGCAAAGGCUUUGGAGCAUCACUUUGAGGUAAAGCUAUAGAGAAUAUCUAUUGAGCUGUGUUCUAAUGGUACUUAGUAGUUUAGUGUAAACACAGUUCAUGGUCGUUUGGCUCGAAAAUGACUUCAAACCAUUCCAAAAUAUUAUCUUUAUUGACAACAAACAGGUCAAACAACUUAACGCGGGAGAGCCUUUGUUUAUUUUGGUGAUAGGGACUUGGAACAACAGGAAAAAGUGUAAAAUGGUGUAUAUCUGAUAACCAUAGUCAUUUAAGAUGUUCUCAACUUGGGUACAGAAGUCAUUUGUAUUUUGUGAGUUUUGUACAUAGUUAUAUUUCUGUAUAUGUUUUGAUUGCAGGAAAACCGUCAGUGUACUAUUGUUAAGUGUUACAGUUCAAAUAUAUUACAUUUUUUUAGAAAGAAAUCUAAAAUUGCUCACUUACUAUUUUAUAGUUUGUCCCUUGUCCUCUAGUUGUUGAAAUGAAUUGGCUAAAAUAUCACUUGUAUUGCACUUGUAAUCAAAUAUGCUUUUUCAUAGGGAACCUUUAUAUGCAACAAUGAAUAAAGGAGACAGCUAACCAACAAACAUGUGAAAUGUGAAUGUCUGUAUUAAAAUGCCGUCAGUGACACAAAUGAAAGACUUUGUAGAACAACUUGAUGUAAAAAUAGAGCACAAACAGGGAUCCAAGCUAACCACAACUUGACUGUAAUUCGCAUGGAUAUCUCACUUAUGGUGCUUCCAGGUUGUUAUAAAUAAUGUAACGCUGCGUUGAUGUGCAUUAAAGCCACAGUUGUAUUUUUUUGCUGUCUAUCCCAGUCAGGAAUACUUAUGUCCAUGUAACAGCUAUACUGUUAAAUAUUACCGUUAAUGUGAUCAUCUACAAUCCAUGAAUGUACCUAUCCACCAUUUUAGGUUUUCCUCGUAGACAGUUUGUUUAUGUUUGUCCGUUCUCUCACGAUGUGAACAUUUAUUUAUCCUCCGUUUGUAAUGAGUAUUAGUUUCCUCUGAGUUCUCAUAACUAAAAUCUUGCAUACUAAGUAUCUCACCAGCCUUCUUACAUGUUUGUUGGUUUUAUUAUGUCUGUAUUUUACUUCAGAUUGUUCAUGUUGUAUACUGUAGUGCAGGGAUCAUCAACUAGAUUCAGCUGGGGGCUGAUUGUUAUCGGGAGCGUAUUGGUGGGGGGGUGGAAUAUAAUUACAAAUAAUUUGUGGUCUGCAAAUUGACCGCAAGAAUAUGUUUGACUAAAACAUGAUUGCAAACCUUUCUUAAAUUAAAAUCACUUGGAGCUGUU
RNA transcript from Oncorhynchus keta (chum salmon), 5438 nucleotides. It is a transcript of the gene named protein phosphatase 1K, mitochondrial-like, with no coding region annotated. The record is from RefSeq and is a predicted model, not a curated record. The transcript is spliced from 9 exons. NCBI's taxonomy places the organism in Eukaryota, Metazoa, Chordata, Actinopteri, Salmoniformes, Salmonidae.